AACGGAAAAAGUGUUCUCAUUUGCCACAAGAGGGGUGCAAACGAAUUUCAGAUCAUAGUUUUCGCUUGACUUCAAAUGAUGAGAAAAAAAUAAAUUAAUUGGUUACAAAAAAAGUUAUGACUGAAAGUAAAUUGUAUCGAAUUUGUAUUUCUCUACUAAUUUAAGAUAGCAUUUAAAUUGCUUGUAUAUUUAGACUUAAUUUCUUGACCUAUCUAGAAAUUCCUCAUUUAUUUAUUCAAUAGCUUUUAUUCAUAAGUGAUUCUGUCCGACCAAGUGUGAUCAGGUCCAUGUCGGUUUCAAACCACAAGGAGUAUGGUGUUUGGAUCUUAUAAAAUGACUUACCAAACAAGAUGGGAGCCACGAAGAUCAUACUGUGUUCUGCUCUCGUGUUUGUUGUAUUUUCCGCCAUAGCUGAAGCUGGCGGUUAUGGUGCCAACGUGCGAGGUAUUGGUGGGUACUAUCAACCCUCGCAGCAGGUAUAUGCCUACUACCAACCUGCCCGCGUUCAGUAUUACACUCCUGGUAUGUAUGGAGGAUACAACACUGGAAUUAGCGGGUCAGGCAAUGCAAUGGGAUCCGUGUUUCCUCUUCUUAUCAUCUUCCUCCUGUGUGCUAUCUUUGCUCCCAUGUUGAUUGGAAGUCUCAUCUUUUCAAAUGAUGUUGUGUAUAGUAAUAGCAAAUAAAAGAUGAACCGGAAAAGGGAAAAUCGAUAGGACUAGCCCGCAAUUCACAUUGUAUAUAAUCUCAAAAUAAAGUGCAUGACACAAUUCCAAAAA
Ostrea edulis (European flat oyster) is the source of this 776-nucleotide long non-coding RNA. RefSeq lists it as uncharacterized. The record is from RefSeq and is a predicted model, not a curated record. The transcript is spliced from 4 exons. Lineage: Eukaryota; Metazoa; Mollusca; Bivalvia; Ostreida; Ostreidae.